UCUCUCGUAGCUUAGUUGGUCAAAGCAUUGGUGUGUAAAGCCAGAGGUCUCGGGUUCGAUCCCCGGCGGGGGUG
Molecule: transfer RNA, 74 nt
Filed under: Agrilus planipennis (emerald ash borer)
Lineage: Eukaryota; Metazoa; Arthropoda; Insecta; Coleoptera; Buprestidae
Rfam family: tRNA
About the family: Transfer RNA (tRNA) molecules are approximately 80 nucleotides in length.
Source: Rfam by way of RNAcentral